This is a long non-coding RNA of Juglans regia (Persian walnut), 334 nucleotides long. RefSeq lists it as uncharacterized. NCBI's taxonomy places the organism in Eukaryota, Viridiplantae, Streptophyta, Magnoliopsida, Fagales, Juglandaceae. The record is from RefSeq and is a predicted model, not a curated record. The transcript is spliced from 3 exons.
AAAAUUUUGGUAGAAAGGGAUCCCAUAAAAACUUCUUUCGAGCAAUGGGUCAGACCCGAUCAUUUCUCAAGAACAAUAGCUAAAGGGCCUGAUACUACUACUUGAAUUUGGAACCUACAUGUUGAUGAUGCUCACGAUUUUGAUAGCCAUAAUAGUGAUUUGGAGGAGAUAUAUCGAAAAGUAUUUAGUGCCCAUUUCGGACAACUUUCUAUCAUCUUUCUUUGGCGGAGUGGCAUGUAUUUCCACGGUGCUCAUUUUUCCAAUUAUGAAUCAUGGUUAAGUGAUCCUACUCACAUUGGACUUAGUGCCCAUGUGGUUUGGCCAAUAGUGGGCC